Molecule: long non-coding RNA, 803 nt
Organism: Hypanus sabinus (Atlantic stingray)
Lineage: Eukaryota; Metazoa; Chordata; Chondrichthyes; Myliobatiformes; Dasyatidae
Exons: 2
Source: RefSeq, a predicted model, not a curated record
GCAGCCUUUGUGCUAUGCAGAGUAUGCGCAGAGGAAGAUGGAAGCUGGCUGUCAAUCAAAAAGGGAAGCGAACGGAGCUGAAGCGGUUCAAGUUCUGCAGGUUCUUUUGAAAACUCUGACCCAGAGUCACACGCUGACUUUGGUUCUUUGCGGGAAUGGGACUCAUUCUCAGGGUUUCAGGACCAGCUGUUGUUCAGCCUGAGAGUCCAGCUCAGAUUUGGAAGCCUAGGAUCGUGGAGCUCUGGAGAUGGGUGGAUCAAGAGUUGUGUCACAGCUGGAGGUCCGUCUGUCUGUCAUCGUGGGAGAGUCAGAAUAUCUGUUGUGGGCCCAGAGACCCAGGACCUUUGUGCUCUUAAGGCACAGAACUCUAAAGAGUGACAUAAUGGAUUUUUAACAUCGCAAACUAGUGAGUUGUUUGUUAUGUCUCCCCGCUCGCUGGGCAAACAGAGACACCUCCUUCUCCGUUAUUCGGGAGAGAGAGCCUGUGGUAUGUUGAAUGUUGAGUGAGACAAAGUCUUUGCGGUAACUGCAAGUCUGUGUCUGUGUCUUUGCUUUGCUCACGCUGGAGUGCUCAGUGGUGGGUUUCAAUGCUUUUUUCAUGCUGGUGGGGGGAGAGGGGGGACUGUUUCUUGCUGUAGCUUACGUGUGGAAGGGAGGGCAGCUUGAGGCAGGGCUUUGGACAUUUAACAUUCAUUCUAUGGGGCAUUUCUCUGUUUUCAUGGAUGUUUGCAAAGAAAAUGAAUUUCAGAAUGUAUACUGUAUACAUUUCUCUGACAUUAAAUUGUACCGUUAAACCUUUGAAA